This 2013-nucleotide ribosomal RNA is filed under the name Triticum aestivum (bread wheat). Its description in RNAcentral is "partial small subunit ribosomal RNA". The record is from RNAcentral. Lineage: Eukaryota; Viridiplantae; Streptophyta; Magnoliopsida; Poales; Poaceae.
AUGAGAGCCCUCCUCUCCCUCUCCAAGCUUGCCCGUCGUCUCCCCACCUCCCUGGCCGCCACCAGGGUCGCCCCGCCCCUCCUCCAACGGCACCUUCACGCCGACUCCGCACUUCCUCCUCAAGCUCCGCCCCCUUUUGCCUCCCGCAUCCUCCAAUCCGAAGAGAGCCCGGACCCGAGCACUGAUUUGGAACAUGCUCAGCCGGCCCCCGACCCUGUCCUCGAUGAGUUUCUCGCCCGCUUGGUCACCGCGCUCCGUCCGACACUUGCGGCCGCCUUCCCCACCCACACCCGCCCCGUGCUCGACGAAAUGCUUCGUCUUAUCGCGGAGGCCGUCCUCAACCGCCUCUCCGGAGCCGAUCCGGGGCCAGACACCGUCGAGCUCAGCGACGACCUCUGGGCGGCGGUGUGGGAGGUCAGCGCCUCCGUGCGCGAGGCCAUGCGCCGGGACCAGGUCCGCGCCGACCUCCGUAACUACCUCCACUCCGACGAUGUCAAGGAGAUGACGCGGUUCGCCGUCGACGUAGGCAUCCGCGGCGCUAUGCUCCGCGAGCUGCGCUUCAAGUGGGCCCGCGAGAAGCUCGAGGAGGUCGAAUUCUACCGCGGCCUGGAGGUUAUGCGCCAACAGGCUGAUGCGGCUGAUAGCCCUGCGGCACCCCCGCCGGCGAGGCUAACCGCGUUGCCGCAGAGGAAGGGGGAGGUUAAGUUCAAGAUCUCUGGGUUGGACUUGUCAGACCCAAAGUGGGCUGAGGUGGCUGAGCGGGCAGCUGAAGCUGAGGCACACUUUGUGCCGGAGGAGGCCAAGGCUGUAGAUGGGAAGGCAAAGAAGGCCGAGGAGCAACUGCUGGCGACUGAGCCGAGGAAAGGCAACCCAGUUCCUGCCAUGGAGGAGUGGAAGGAGGAGCUCCGACCAAAGCGCGUUGACUGGAUGGCACUCCUCGAGCGGGUUAAGGCCCGCAAUGUUGAGUUGUAUCUCAAGGUUGCUGAAAUUCUUUUGGAUGAAGAUUCAUUUGCUGCAACUAUCCGAGAUUACUCCAAGUUAAUUGAUCUUCACUCUAAAGCAACUCACGUGCAAGAUGUAGAAAGGAUACUUGGUAAAAUGAAAGAGAAGGAUAUUGCACCUGAUAUCCUCACAUCCAUCACCUUAGUCCACAUGUACAGCAAAUCUGGCAAUCUUGAACAAGCCACGCGGGCGUUUGACUUUAUCCAAAAGGAGGGCCUCCAACCAGAUACAAAACUCUUUACAUCAAUGAUUAGUGCCUGUAUUAACGCUGGAGAUCCGAAACAAGCAGAGAAAUUGGUAAGGAAUAUGGAUGAGCUUUCCAUGAAACCCAACAGGGAAAUAUACAUGGAUGUGAUGCGGGCAUAUGCUGAGCGUAACUUAGUAGAUGGAGCUCAAUCGAUAAAAACAAAAAUGUCAUUCGCUGGAAUCGAGCCCCCAUUGGAGUGCUUCACAUUGCUUAUAGAAGCAUAUGGACGGGCUGGCAACCCUGAUUAUGCAUAUGAAGCGUUUGAACAGAUGAGGAAGAAUGGGCAUGAACCAGAUGACCGUUGCCUGGCUGGUAUGAUUACUGCACUCAUGAAGAAGAACCAGCUGGACCAGGCUUUGAAGUUGCUGCUGAGUUUAGAGAAGGAGGGGGUUAAACCUGGAGUUAAGACAAAUCUGGUCCUGCUGGAUUGGCUGUCCAUGUUGCAGUUGGUGCAAGAGGCUGAACAACUUGUACAAAAGAUAAGAAAGGCGGGAGAAGAGCCCCUAGAGAUCCAUGUUUACCUUGCUGAUAUGUAUGCGAAAUCACGCCAGGAAGAGAAAGCCCGCAAAUCCCUCAAGAUCUUGGAAGAGAAGAAGAGACUGCUGAAGGCUGAUCAGUUUGAGAGGAUUAUAAGAGGCCUUCUGGUAGGGGGUUUCUCGGAGGAUGCAAGCAAAUAUUUCAAAAUGAUGAGAUCUCGUGGCUUUGUUCCAUCAGCAACAGUCGAGGCCGGGGUCAGGGGCGUCGGUCGCCUGGCUGGCAGGUAG